This 94-nucleotide transfer RNA is filed under the name Microbacterium flavescens. Its description in RNAcentral is "tRNA-Arg". RNAcentral also lists the same sequence under 1 other name. Lineage: Bacteria; Bacillati; Actinomycetota; Actinomycetes; Micrococcales; Microbacteriaceae. The record is from RNAcentral.
GUGGCGGCCCGGCUCGGGGUUGCCUGCGGGCCGGCUUCGGGUCGGCUUCGGGUCGGCUUCGGGCCCUCUCCGGGUCGCCUCCGGGCCUGCCUCG